This 254-nucleotide ribosomal RNA is filed under the name Vibrio parahaemolyticus. Its description in RNAcentral is "partial 23S ribosomal RNA". It matches the Rfam family "Bacterial large subunit ribosomal RNA", at positions 2038 to 2291 of the family's 2925-position model. The record is from RNAcentral. Lineage: Bacteria; Pseudomonadati; Pseudomonadota; Gammaproteobacteria; Vibrionales; Vibrionaceae.
GAAAUUGAAAUCGCUGUGAAGAUGCAGUGUACCCGCGGCUAGACGGAAAGACCCCGUGAACCUUUACUACAGCUUGGCACUGAACAUUGACCCUACAUGUGUAGGAUAGGUGGGAGGCUUUGAAGCACGUACGCCAGUAUGUGUGGAGCCGUCCUUGAAAUACCACCCUUGUAGUGUUGAUGUUCUAACGUCGACCCCUUAUCGGGGUUGCGGACAGUGCCUGGUGGGUAGUUUGACUGGGGCGGUCUCCUCCU